RNAcentral lists this ribosomal RNA (400 nucleotides) under phytoplankton environmental sample. RNAcentral describes it as "partial small subunit ribosomal RNA". It matches the Rfam family "Eukaryotic small subunit ribosomal RNA", at positions 587 to 989 of the family's 1831-position model. The record is from RNAcentral.
AGCUCUAAUAGCGUAUAUUAAAGUUGUUGCGGUUAAAAAGCUCGUAGUUGGAUUUUGGGACCUCUGCGGUCGGUCCGGUGUAAACCGCGAACUGACGGCUGGGUCCUUCUGUCUGGAGACGGGGUGCUUCCUCUUGAUUGAGGGGCGCUCCUGCUCUAGGACUCUUACUUUGAACAAAUUAGAGUGUUUAAAGCAGGCCAACGCCUUGAAUACAUUAGCAUGGAAUAAACCUAUAGGACUUUGGUUCUAUUUUGUUGGUUUUAAGGACCGAAGUAAUGAUUAAUAGGGAUAGUUGGGGGCAUUCGUAUUUAAUUGUCAGAGGUGAAAUUCUUAGAUUUAUGAAAGACGAACUACUGCGAAAGCAUUUGCCAAGGAUGUUUUCAUUAAUCAAGAACGAAAG